AAGUGAUACCCCUGAAACUUUAUUACACUCUUUAACCCAAGGCAGAAACAAUGUGGAAGAAUAUGUUUCUCACUUUCGUAGAUUAGCUGCAGAUACUUCAUGGAAUGAAGCAGCCUUAAAAUACCAACAUAGAUUGAGGUUGUCUGAAAAUCUUCGAGAUGAACUUGCAAGGACUGGUAUUCCUAGCACCUUAAGGGACUUAAUUGAUAUCACUAUCCAAUUAGACAGGAG
Non-coding RNA from Pelobates cultripes (western spadefoot toad), 231 nucleotides. NCBI's taxonomy places the organism in Eukaryota, Metazoa, Chordata, Amphibia, Anura, Pelobatidae. The record is from the annotation of a GenBank genome assembly.